UACGGAGGGUGCAAGCGUUACUCGGAAUCACUGGGCGUAAAGGGCGCGUAGGCGUCCUAUUAAGUCUCCCGUGAAAGCCCCGAGCUCAACUUGGGAACUGCGGGGGAAACUGGUAGGAUAGAGUGUGGAAGAGGUCGAUGGAAUUUCUGGUGUAGGGGUAAAAUCCGUAGAGAUCAGAAGGAAUACCGAUGGCGAAAGCGAUCGGCUGGGACACUACUGACGCUGAGGCGCGAAAGCGUGGGGAGCAAAC
RNAcentral lists this ribosomal RNA (250 nucleotides) under uncultured bacterium. Its description in RNAcentral is "partial 16S ribosomal RNA". It matches the Rfam family "Bacterial small subunit ribosomal RNA", at positions 524 to 773 of the family's 1533-position model. The record is from RNAcentral.